GAGGGUAUAGCUCAAAUGGUGGAGCUCAUGCUUAGAAUGCACGAGGUCCUGGGUUCAAUCCCCAGUACCUCCA
Molecule: transfer RNA, 73 nt
Organism: Camelus ferus (Wild Bactrian camel)
Lineage: Eukaryota; Metazoa; Chordata; Mammalia; Artiodactyla; Camelidae
Rfam family: tRNA
About the family: Transfer RNA (tRNA) molecules are approximately 80 nucleotides in length. Their secondary structure includes four short double-helical elements and three loops (D, anti-codon, and T loops). Further hydrogen bonds mediate the characteristic L-shaped molecular structure. tRNAs have two regions of fundamental functional importance: the anti-codon, which is responsible for specific mRNA codon recognition, and the 3' end, to which the tRNAs corresponding amino acid is attached (by aminoacyl-tRNA synthetases). tRNAs cope with the degeneracy of the genetic code in two manners: having more than one tRNA (with a specific anti-codon) for a particular amino acid; and 'wobble' base-pairing, i.e. permitting non-standard base-pairing at the 3rd anti-codon position.
Source: Rfam